GAUGAACGCUGGCGGCGUGCCUAAUACAUGCAAGUCGAGCGAACGGACCAGAAGCUUGCUUCUCUGAUGUUAGCGGCGGACGGGUGAGUAACACGUGGAUAACCUACCUAUAAGACUGGGAUAACUUCGGGAAACCGUAGCUAAUACCGGAUAAUAUUUUGAACCGCAUGGUUCAAAAGUGAAAGACGGUCUUGCUGUCACUUAUAGAUGGAUCCGCGCUGCAUUAGCUAGUUGGUAAGGUAACGGCUUACCAAGGCAACGAUGCAUAGCCGACCUGAGAGGGUGAUCGGCCACACUGGAACUGAGACACGGUCCAGACUCCUACGGGAGGCAGCAGUAGGGAAUCUUCCGCAAAGGGCGAAAGCCUGACGGAGCAACGCCGCGUGAGUGAUGAAGGUCUUCGGAUCGUAAAACUCUGUUAUUAGGGAAGAACAUAUGUGUAAGUAACUGUGCACAUCUUGACGGUACCUAAUCAGAAAGCCACGGCUAACUACGUG
Molecule: ribosomal RNA, 497 nt
Filed under: uncultured bacterium
Lineage: Bacteria
Description: partial 16S ribosomal RNA
Rfam family: Bacterial small subunit ribosomal RNA
Source: RNAcentral